This 2328-nucleotide long non-coding RNA is filed under the name Sus scrofa (pig). RNAcentral describes it as "lncRNA (ENSSSCG00000055252.1)". The record is from RNAcentral. Lineage: Eukaryota; Metazoa; Chordata; Mammalia; Artiodactyla; Suidae.
AUUUCUUUGGGCCGCUCCCGCGGCAUAUGGAAGUUCCCAGGCUAGGGGUCGAAUCGGAGCUGUAGCCACUGGCCUACGCCAGAGCCACAGCAACGCUGGAUCCAAGCCGCGUCUGUAACCACACCACAGCUCACAGCAACGCCGGAUCAUUAACCCACUGAGCAACGGCAGGGAUCGAACCCGCAACCUCAUGGUUCCUAGUCGGAUUCGUUAACCACUGCGCCAUGAUGGGAACUCCCUAUUAGCAUGAAAAGGGAAACACAGAUAUUAUUUAGACUUCAGCAACUAAAAUUUUCUUUGUUUUUAUCUAAAAACAAGCACUUUUUAAAUUAUAAAAUGCUGUGUUUCUAUACAGUAUGAUUGUUUUGUACCUGAGUAACUAAUUCACAACCACGUCUCCAUAACCCUGAGAAAUGAGAAUAGGUGUUAUCUUCAGCCUCAAAGAUGAGAAGGUGAUAAAGCCACAGUGACUCAGGAAGAAUGCACUUGAGGUUGACUACAUUAAAAGUUUCACAUGACUAUGUUAGUUUGCAAUACCUUGCUCAAAAUGUAACUAUAAAUCGUAUGCUAGACCAGCUAAAAAAAGUCCAUCUCGAAAAAGAAAAAUUUCAAUGAAGAUUUUAAUAUCUUAAAUCUAUCAAUAUUCACUAAAACCAAUCGCCUUUUGAAAAACAGAGAAGAAAAAGCACCAACCACACCCUCAAAAAUUACCUAGUUUGGACAAAGGGCAUACAUUUUACCUUUUAUAAAAGAAAAAAGAGAAUGUGCUAAUUGUAUAUGAGUCUUCUUAGUAGAAAGAAGUGAUUACACAGAACCGAAGUCUAGGGAACGAUUUUCACAGUGAGACAAAGUCUGGGCCUUGAAAGCUGACCUAGGCCCAGAAAACUGAGAGACUUGGCUUUCAGUGUGACAGCGAGUGAAAAUAAUAAAGUAUGCUGAGACAGUUCUUAUGUUAUCCUAACCCAACUUCUAUAUCAUACUCACUACACUAGGCCAUGUCUAGGAAAUCACUGUCCACAAAAAAGCAAGAACUGGAUAGAAUUAAACCCAACAGAAACGACUAUUUCCCCGAAAAGCAGAUUUCUAUAUUGACAUCUUAUGCCAGAGACAGUUCUAAAGAGAAUUAUGUUUGACUCUUAAGAAAUUGCCAGUACUUGAUGCUUUUUAGCCUAAGUGUUGAUUUCAUAUGAUUCAACCUCAGGAGAUGCUAAUAUUUGAAUACUUAUCGAAGAGCAUCAUGAUUCUCUUGAAAGGGAAUGAAGGAGCUGCUAAAAUAGAAGACAGAUAUUUUGUAGAACAUUAGGGUUACUAUAAGAUUGACAAAUCUCUUAUGGAAUAUCAACCUCUGCUAGUUUUCUCUGUACAAGGAUGACAACACCACAGUACUAGUGGAGAGGCCCUUUAUCUGAGGCUCUAAUGGAUUACAUAAGUGACCCACAGACCAGGAACUGUCGGGGUGGGGUGUGAAUAUCUUAGAGAAUAACCCAGGUAAACUCUUGAUUUUUCCUAUCAGAGUUCUUUAGCAUAAUGAAAUAUAAACAUCUUGUUUCUCGUCUGUUAAAAUGGAUCACCAAGUUGCUUUGAUCCAACUUUAUGAAAAUUACUUUAGAAAGGUUAUGUUUCCUUAAAAUUCCUCAGGAAAAAUUUUAAUCUUGGACUUUUACAAGCAACUACCACGACAUCAUGAAUAUAAAGAACGUCUCACAAAAAGUCAGUACUGUAUAAUGAAACUGUAUGAAAGUUGGUAAUUAAGCGUAAUUGAAGGCUGCAGUGAACAUAUAGGCCUUUGUUCUCUUUAAUUCUGGCACUGACUGGGAAUUAAAGAUAAGAGCUUAAGGCAUAUUUUAGUCAGAGUCCAGAUGUAUAAGUCCCAGUGUUCUAAAAGCAAUUCAAGUGAAGUGAAAGAGAAUGGCCAAAAAUAUUUUAGAUGUCUGCCAGGAAAAAAUACCUAUAUUCUGAACACUUAACAUAUUUGAUUGAUCAUAUUUAGAAUCACUUAUUUGGUGACUUUAAAAAGAGUUAAAACAACAGAUAUUCUUAUAUCCAAAAUCUGAUUGAACUACUAAAUUAAUUGGUAGCCAAAAAAAACCCUUUAAAAAUUAACUUGUCACAUUAAACAACACUAUAUUAUCACAUGCAAAAGCAAUACGAACACCCAUACCAAAAAAAAAGGUAUAGUUCACUAGCUCCACAGAAUUCAAUUUCUCUACAAGAAUGAAAGAGGAGGCAACAGAACAAAAUUGAUGUCAUUUUAGCAAAGCUCAUCAGCAGGAUGAGUCUUUCGGAUUUCUAUUUUGGAAGAUGGACAGAAUAUGUAUAUAUGUAUAU